UAUAAGCGGAGGAAAAGAAACUAACAAGGAUUCCCCUAGUAGCGGCGAGCGAAGCGGGAAGAGCUCAAAUUUAUAAUCUGGCACCUUCGGUGUCCGAGUUGUAAUCUCUAGAAAUGUUUUCCGCGAUGGACCGCACACAAGUCUGUUGGAAUACAGCGGCAUAGUGGUGAGACCCCCGUAUAUGGUGCGGACGCCCAGCGCUUUGUGAUACAUUUUCGAAGAGUCGAGUUGUUUGGGAAUGCAGCUCAAAUUGGGUGGUAAAUUCCAUCUAAAGCUAAAUAUUGGCGAGAGACCGAUAGCGAACAAGUACCGUGAGGGAAAGAUGAAAAGCACUUUGGAAAGAGAGUUAACAGUACGUGAAAUUGUUGGAAGGGAAACGCUUGAAGUCAGACUUGCUUGCCGAGCAAUCGGUUUGCAGGCCAGCAUCAGUUUUCCGGGAUGGAUAAUGGUAGAGAGAAGGUAGCAGUUUCGGCUGUGUUAUAGCUCUCUGCUGGAUACAUCUUGGGGGACUGAGGAACGCAGUGUGCCUUUGGCGGGGGUUUCGACCUCUUCACACUUAGGAUGAUGGUGGAAUCUCAGGAUUCAC
This 586-nucleotide ribosomal RNA is filed under the name Rhodotorula mucilaginosa. RNAcentral describes it as "eukaryotic LSU rRNA". It matches the Rfam family "Eukaryotic large subunit ribosomal RNA", at positions 45 to 620 of the family's 3401-position model. The record is from RNAcentral. Lineage: Eukaryota; Fungi; Basidiomycota; Microbotryomycetes; Sporidiobolales; Sporidiobolaceae.